RNAcentral lists this long non-coding RNA (1566 nucleotides) under Homo sapiens (human). Its description in RNAcentral is "Putative chemokine-related protein FP248, transcript variant 2 (LOC107983985)". The record is from RNAcentral. Lineage: Eukaryota; Metazoa; Chordata; Mammalia; Primates; Hominidae.
CUCUCACCAGGCAGGUCCAGAGGAAGUGGCGGGCGCUGAGGCCCCUCUCCCAGGCCAGCGUGCAGAAGAGGGUGUGCAGUAGCCGCCAGCGGAGCAGCACAGCACAGCGGUAGAAGGUGAACUUGGCCUGCUGCAGGGACAGGCGUGGAGGGUCACCCACCGCCUAUGUCUGAGCCCUUUCCCCUAGAGGCCACAGGCCUCCAUGGGCACUGGAGGCAGCCUGCUGUGCGGGUGUUCCCUGGUUCUGUCCUGCUUGUGCCCCUCGGCAAGCCUCCCCGACCCUGGCAACAGCACCUGGCCCCCCGGAGCCCAGGCUGGUCUGCCCGCGGCCCUGGCCCUGCCCCUUCCACGGUUGCCCCGUAUCCUUUUCCCCAUGGCAGGGAGACCCGCGAGGCCAAGCUCUGACUUCGUGGGCUGUGCACAGGGCAUGUGCUGCCACGGCAGGCAGGGCACAGUCCAUAUUCACACAAGCUCUGUGAGCUGCUGGACCCCCUGCCCCGUUACAGGGACUGGGGGCACAGCAGUGAGCAGAAAAGACCGGGUCCUGCCGCAUCGACGGCAAGUCUCGCUCGCAUGCGUGUGCGCAGUGGGGGAGCGGGCAGGCCAACUGUGGUCACAGAAACCAGUGCAGAUGGCCAGACCCUCUGCCCGCCACUUGCUGCCCCGUGGGAGCUCCCCCAACUCUCAGGCAGUGCUGCUGCCAUCCGUCUGCCCCGUACCCUGGCCUCCUGUGGGUCCCAGCCCUGGCCAAGGUGAAGGCCUAUCACCUGCCUUUCCUGGGGUGGGCACUGACCGUGGCGACAGCUGGGCAUUGGUCCUUCAGGUGUAGGAGCAGGGGCACCAUGCUCUGGUGCACCUGGGUCCGCAGGCCGCUCAGCUCCCUGUCUGCCAUGGCCGCCACCAGGUCCCCGAACAGUGCCAUGGCUGCCGCCCGAAUCCCGUCCCGCUCCUGCAAGGCAGAGGCUCAGAGGCACGGCCAGACCUGUCCAGGGGUCCCAGCUUUGGUCCAAGUUGGGACCCCACACCUUGUAGGGCCCAGGCCUCAUGAAUGCAUUUGAGGGGCGCCUAUCCCCCAGAUUCCCCAGUGAAGGAAAAACAGCCACGCUAACCGUGCUGACAUGUCAGAAAGCAAAUCUGGGUAGGCUGUCGUGGGGCCGGAGACCACUGCACUUGGAGACUGAACGUGAGAACUAGUUCAGCCCUGUGGAGAAGGGGGUCUCACACUGUCACCCAGGCUGGAGUACAGUGGUGUGACCAUAGCUUACUGCAGCCUUGACCUCCCAGGCUCAAGCAAUCCUCCCAACAUAACCUCCUGAGUAGCUGGGUCUACAGCCAGUUCCGUCUUCUCCACUUGAUUGCGUGUUUGCAGUGAUUUCCUGAGUUAUCGGGAUGAAUGGUCAGAAAGCAGUGUGCCCACCAAUGGAUGUUUCCUGCCAUUGGGCCCCUUAGCAGUGACUUGGGUGCAAACCAGGGUGAUUUUUACAACUUUUAAACAAGUUUAAAGCAGCUUUGUUGGCUUUCUUAGCUGUUUGCUUUGAAAAUAUUAAAUUCAUUUUCAGCAAGUGA